GAGCUGGAUCCACAUGCGCUGGUCCUCGAUCUGCUUGUGGAUAGGCGUGAGGAGUCGCUGAAGCGGAGCCCAAGCGGCACCGGCGCGGGCGUGAAGACGACGGCGGGAGGAUCUGGAGCCCGAGCGGGAGGAUCUGGAGCCGCAUCUCAAGUACUCCGGCGACACAACGGCGCUUGAUGUGGAGCCCCACCGGCGCCGCUGCCGGUGGUGGGGCACCAGUUCUGCGCGCCCUACGUGGUGCCGCUGACGGUGACCAAGAAGGCGCUCAGCCUCUCCGACGGCGACUUCGCCAUCACCGAUGCCAACGGCGCCGUCGUGCUCAAGGUCAAGGGCGCCAUCUUCAGCAUCCGGAGCUGCCGCACCAUCCACGACGGCGCUGGGAUGCCCCUCCUAACCAUGCAAGAAAAGGUGGGGUGUAGUUGAGGUCUGGGAGAUCCAUGUUCUCCAGGCAACUAAAAAGAACUUUCAAGAUUGUUUUAAAGAAGGGCUAUUGAAAAAAGAUGUGUGAGGGCAUCAGUCACUCUCAUGCCGGCAUGCCGCACUUUCAGCUAGCAGAGGGAGUAAUGGGCGAGGAGAUGAACCUAGGAGAGCAAAAUUGAGAACUCCAGCUAAAGCAGCUCCUGCCCAGCGGCGAGGACUUCAGCGGCAGCAGCACCUGUGCAUGGGGAGGAACAGCCCCUGGGCGCGCGUAGGCAGCAGCUCGCCUCCACUAGCAGGCGGCAGCAGAGCACCAGCUCGCCUCCACCAGCGGCCGGCAGUAGAUCAGCACCUCGUCUCCACCAGCGGGCGGCAGCAGAGCACCACCUGGGCGCGCGGGGGCCGGGAGGAGCCCCUAGCGUGGGAGAGGAGCGCGGGGGU
Molecule: long non-coding RNA, 858 nt
Organism: Triticum dicoccoides
Lineage: Eukaryota; Viridiplantae; Streptophyta; Magnoliopsida; Poales; Poaceae
Exons: 4
Source: RefSeq, a predicted model, not a curated record